AGAUUCUCGCAAAUGUGGAAGCGGAUCGCGUGGAGUGACGGUCACACCGCGGCGAAUUAAUUUCCAAAGACUCAUGUUACAUGAGAAAGCCACCAAGAAGACCAAAGAAAAGGAGACAAGGAUGGCUCUUCCUCAGGAUUGACUUCUAAGGACUCUUGGUACAUGAGGAAGAAACUCGGAAGAGGAAGAGGAAAGCAAAGGCGUCAGGAAUGGCUCUUCCUCAGGGUCUAUUGACAUUCAGGGACGUGGCCAUAGAAUUCUCUCAGGAGGAGUGGAAAUGCCUGGACCCUGCUCAGAGGACUCUAUACAGGGACGUGAUGCUGGAGAAUUAUAGGAACCUGGUCUCCCUGGGUGAGGAUAACUUCCCUCCAGAAGUGGGGAUGUGCCCUUGUGGAUCUUUGUAUUUUCUCCAGUUGCCUCCUGGAGCCCCAUUCUUGCUUGACUAAAAUGGAAGCCGUAUUGAUUUCAAACUGAAAAGCUUCAUGAUGUAGCAUCUGGACUUUCACUGUGCCCUUUGUUUAGAUGUUCUGCAUUCUCUUUGUUUAGAUGUUCUGCAUUCUUCGUGAUAGCUCAGUGGGGGUUCCAGAAGUAAAGUAGGCA
Molecule: small RNA, 600 nt
Filed under: Pan troglodytes (chimpanzee)
Lineage: Eukaryota; Metazoa; Chordata; Mammalia; Primates; Hominidae
Description: retained intron
Source: RNAcentral